Rosa rugosa (rugosa rose) is the source of this 1980-nucleotide long non-coding RNA. RefSeq lists it as uncharacterized. Lineage: Eukaryota; Viridiplantae; Streptophyta; Magnoliopsida; Rosales; Rosaceae. The record is from RefSeq and is a predicted model, not a curated record. The transcript has 6 exons.
CUGGAAUACGCCCUACGUAGGGUGCGCCCUCGUGGGCCCGUCCCGCGUGGCUUGCUCACGUCCACACGAUUUGAAUUACAAGGGCAGUAGUGUAAUUGCAAAGUUAACUUUCGUUAUCAGUAAAAUGGCUGCCGUUAGUGUAGAAAGCCGAGGGUAUUAAUGUAAUAUGCGAAACAAGGUAAAAGUUUGUGUUAUCAUCUUCAUCUUUCUUCAUUUCUUGUUCACGAAGUGUCUGCUAUUCACAGGGUGAGGGUCACCUGCUGUCUGUUAACAGCGCGUGAGGUACAUAUAUGGGUUUCAGAUUAGGGCUGUUGUCAGUUUUCACGUUCUCACACACCCUCAACGCCUCCAAACUCCAAACCGAAGCCGACCCAAAAAAACCGUAGAUCUGCAACAGCGCUGGUGAAAUUGGAUUCAAAUGUUGGUGUUGAAGAUGGAACAGCUAUUGGGCUUGACGAAUGAGCAUGGAAAUCGAGAAGAUUGAUAGAAAAAGGCGAGAUCGUCUAGGGUCGGCCAUUGGCGUCCAUCGGAAGACCUCUUUUUUCAACUUCAAUUUCUAUCUGAUUGUUUGUGUAGCAGACUAGCAGGCAAGGUGACGAUGGCAAUAAGCUAUUGUGGCUGGACAGGGUGACCGGAAGGGUUUGCACGUCGAUUUCUGCAAAGGCCAUGGCUAUAACAGGGAUUGAGGAUCGGCGAUACUGGAACUGGAUUGCUACUGAAGAAUCAAGGAGUCAAAAAGUGGUAUGAACCAGAAUGGUGCAAGUUUGGUGAUAAAAAAUCGUAAUUUGUACUUCAACUUAUUUCAUCAUUUAAUUGAAAGUAGAUUAUAUUCUGAUCACUUGUAACUUCUUAUCAAAGAAUUAUAAUCAAAUUAUCUGGUGAGUUGUUCUGCUGAGUUCCUAAUAGCCAAUAUUUUCUUAUCAGGUUUAUGUUUUGUCAAUGGCUGAUAGUAUUUUUGAAAUGCAUGUUUAUAAGUUAAACCAUUUUGUGUUGUUUGUUAGAGAGAUUUGUUUUUAGUUUUGUUUUCUUUCUCGUCUCUUCACUAAAACUUGUGUUCAUUUAUUUGUCUACAGCUCCUAUCAUCAUUAGUUUUGUCAAGGAACAAGCACUACAAAAAAAGAAUUUAUGUAAUUGAUAUUUUCGCCAUGCUUCAUGUGAGAUGUAUGACAUUUCUCAAGGUCUGGCCAAAUUUGUUUGAAUAAAUGGAGAUAUUCUCCGUAUCAGUGUCGGAUCUUGGUUUAUUGGGCUUGAUGUUAAACAUCUUAAUGACGCCAAGUUUUGCUGCUCCUCUUGGACAGGAGGAGCCAUUUGUGCUGGUGUAUGAUUUGAUUUGCUUUGAGGUGGUGGAUCAAAGUAAAACCAGAUGCAGGGAGAUGGUUUAAAAGACAUUGGAUUCAUAUCGGUGAGAUGUUUGCAGCCUGCACAAUAUAGAGUAUGAAGAUUGAGGAAAAAUCAUAGCUGUGAUUGAGAAUUUAUUCCAAGUGUCUUAACCGUAGGUGAAGUAGCUUUGUUCCCAUUACAGUACACUGCAGAUAGGAAAGAAGGGAUUUGAACAAACUAUGCCUAGAGAGGGCAGUCGGUAUAGCUUUAUAUGUUCAGUAACACAAAUUUUAGUGUAAUAGAGGGUGUUCUUAUUGCAACAUAAUCACAUUUCUUUUGUAGCAUGUUGAUUCGCCUUGGGUUAUUCUUUAUUCAGAGCAGUAAAAAUUUUGGAUUUCAAAGGAAAAUAUGUACUCAUCUCUGGAAUGAUGGUCAAGAUUGGGAAAAAUCAUAGCUGUGAUUGAGAAUUUAUUCCAAGUGUCUUAACCGUAGGUGAAGUAGCUUUGUUCCCAUUACAGUACACUGCAGAUAGGAAAGAAGGGAUUUGAACAAACUAUGCCUAGAGAGGGCAGUCGGUAUAGCUUUAUAUGUUCAGUAACACAAAUUUUAGUGUAAUAGAGGGUGUUCUUAUUGCAACAUAAUCACAUUUCUUUUGUAGCA